RNAcentral lists this ribosomal RNA (20 nucleotides) under Tracyina rostrata. Its description in RNAcentral is "partial 18S ribosomal RNA". Lineage: Eukaryota; Viridiplantae; Streptophyta; Magnoliopsida; Asterales; Asteraceae. The record is from RNAcentral.
UGCUACCUGGUGAUCCUGCC